Molecule: long non-coding RNA, 20953 nt
Filed under: Citrus maxima (pomelo)
Lineage: Eukaryota; Viridiplantae; Streptophyta; Magnoliopsida; Sapindales; Rutaceae
Description: long non-coding RNA (CMAX_LNC002397)
Source: RNAcentral
CAAGACAAAAUCGUUACCACGUAUAAUAAUUUAAUGUUGUUAUUGAAAGAUUGCACAUACAUAAUAAGAUAUGCAUACCUUCACACAAUCCCAAAGUCGUUUAAUGUCACUAUCAGGCACUUCAAGUAACACAAGUUUCUCUGCACUAAGGUUUGAAGGUAAUGACUUCAACGGAUAUCCAUACCAGUGUAGAUAUUUCACUUCACCAAAUCCCGGAUCUUGCAAAUAAGAUAUCUUACAUUUGUUCUCUCCAUUGAAUGACGAACUAUAGAACUUUAAAAAUCUCAAUUUAGGCAUUUUUGUGAAAGUAUUAGGAUUUAGACGGAUCUCUUUUACUUUUGACAUAUCCAAACAGAUGCCCUCAAUUUUUUCUGUCCCCUAAAAAUAAAUAAAAAAAAUAAAGUUAAAAUCAAAUGAAAGAUGAUAUGUAUAUUCCACUAAUGAAUUGCACUUCAACCCCACCAAGAAAAACAAUUUGGGGCAAUUUUGUCACUAAUUUACAAUUAGAGGUAACUUAGUUAUUAAUUCAAUUUUUAUUUAUUCUUGCAUGGAGUUUAUGUGGGAUUGGAGCGGGGCUCUCUGUCAUUACUCGAAUCAAAUUUCAAUAAUUCAUGUUUAUAGUUAUUGCUACGCAGUUAAGAAACAUAAUAACACAAGUAAUAAUUAACAUAAAAAUUCUGCAUGUGUAAUAAUUUUACAUAUCAAUUAUGCUUGCAAACGGUUAUGCAAAUUGUCGUCGCAUUUAUAAUUUAUUGCUACGUCAUCUAACCACUAUUGUUUUUUCUAAUCAUUGCCACUCUUCCAUUAAUUCUAAGACUCACGAGUGCGAGCGUAUGUAAAUAUAUUCACAUGAAGUUUUUAAACACUACAUUGUUCCAAAAUAAUAAUACACAACAAACUACUUACCGUAUUAUACGUAAGAACUUCAUAGAUAUCUUCAUGAUGCCAGAGCCUACUGCGGUUUUCAGGAUUAGUUGAUUCUUGUCGAACAAUUUCCCGACCCAAUUCUUGUAGUAAAUCAUGCACUGUUAUCUUGUUGUAUGAAUCAAUAGCAAUGAGAGAUUUAUCAACAAGAACACUCAUUCCUAUUUCUGGGUAGAAGCCACUUGCAUUAAAAAAUUUCAUUAUUAUAUCUACAUCCUCACCUUGAAAGAAACAAGCAACAUCAAGGAAAAUAUUUUUCUCCUUAUCGUCCAAACUAUCAUAACUUAUUUUUAAUACCUCAAGAAUACUUGGAUGGAGGAUUCUUUGCAAUUUAUCUAUUGCACUUUCCCAGACUUCUUUUUCCCUUUUAUGCAGAAAGCAACCCAAAACUUUAAGAGCUAAAGGAACACCUUGAGCAUAUUUCAUUACUUUGCUUGAAAGUUUCUCAUAACCAACAUCAGGAUGGUUUUGUUUGAAGGCAUGUCGACUAAAAAGCUCAAGAGCGUGAUGAUAUUCUAAUGCCUGCAUCUCAUAAAUUUUCCUCACCCCCCAAUUUCGAAGCACUUGUUUAUUUCUGGUGGUUAUUAUGAUUCGACUCACAGGCGUCAACCAAUCAAGACUUCCAAUUAAAGAUUCUAAUUGGCUGAAGCAAGUCACAUCAUCAAAAACAAUCAAAACCUUCAUGCGGCUGAGCCUUCUAAAAUUGAGGUCAAUAUAAGGCAUCACAUUUUUAUCCUUCAAUAAAUUUGAAAGAAGUUUUUGUCGUAAGCAAGCUAAUCCUCCUGGUCUUUGUGACUCAUCUCUAACAUUUUCGAGGAAGCAAGAACCUUCAAAAUCACCCGAGAUUUUGUCGAAAAUAGCUCUAGCAAUUGCUGUUUUGCCUAAACCACCAAUGCCCCAAAUCCCUAAAGCAUAAACAUCUUUCGACUCAACACCUAAUAGGGAUUCAAUUUUCUCAACUGCUGAUUCUAGUCCAACCAGCUGGUUAUUGUUAUCACCCCGCCGAAACACUUCAUCCAAUCUCUUCAAAAUGUGAUUAACAACUUCAUUUAUAAGUUCCGACUCACGCCUAGCAAAUACAUAAAAUUAGCCGCGGUAACUUCAAAUUAAUUAAUAGGAGGAAUUUGUAUUAAUUAAGGUAGAUUGUUAGUUUUCCUAUUGAAAUUAAUAUAUUCCACUAUAAGUCUACAAUCUUACAAUUAAUUGAUUAACUCUUAAGUUACAGGAAUAUGUGUGAUUUUUUUUUUAAUGGUGGUAUCUGAGUGAGAGGUUGAAAUUGCUUGAAAAACUACAAAGCACCACUAAUUUUGCUAUAUAAAAAUUGUAAAAUUCUCGCGCUUUUAUUAUUAAUUCUGUCAAAAUUAUUUUACAUGAGCACAAAAGUGGGGAAGUCAGGAAGUUUAGAAUUUGAUGCUUAAAAUUUUUAAAAUUGUAGUUUAGCAUCCGGAAAUUUAACUAAGAGCGCUGCGUGAAUUUUAUUUAUUGUUAAAUAUUAGUAUGAGAAAUUAAAGGUUUAACUUUUCACCUGAUGUUAGGAGAAUGAAAUCCACACAAACUUGCUGCUUCCUCCAAAGCAUUCCUCCAACUCUGCAGCUUCUCAGUAUUCUCCUUUAAUCUUUCUUCAAGCUUCGAAAAUGAAUCUCCAAAACUCCCAGUUUGGUUUCUCACGUCUGAUGGAUCAACCCGAUAGAAAACCGGAAUCACAAUCUGUGCAUACUCCUUCUUGCAGUCGAGGAUCUUUACAAGUUCAUCGAGACACCAUCUGGAAGAUGCAUACCCUUCUGAGAAGACGAUAACUGAAAUGGCUGAUGCUUCAAUUGCAUUCACAAGUGACUCUGAAAUUUCAUCUCCUCUGUUAAGUUGGUCAUCAAUGAAAGUUUGGAUAUUUUGUCGACUCAGAGAAGAAUAGAGAUGGCUAGUAAAGUUGUCGCGGGUGUCCUCUCCUCUGAAACUAACAAAAACAUCAUACUUCUUGUUGUUUCGAUAAGAAGAAGCCAUAAUCAACAGAAACAGUUGAAUUGAUUAGAGAGAGAUUUCGAUUCGAAUGAAAACAAUUAUUCAAUUUCAUGAACCUUCCUUCAAGUUCCGUGAUAAUUUUUCAAUUUCAUCUCAUUGUCCAACCACCGUGCACUCCACGAUGAUUGAUUAAUUCAACUGCCUUGUAGACUUUUAGCUGAAAAUUCCACACGAACACCAUACUUUUCAACACACGUGCUUCUGUGCUUUAAUGCUCAUAACUGCCAGCAAUAAGUAGGGUGAUAUUUUAAUUUUUAUCUCUGAAUUUAUCUUAUCCGUCCUCAUCUCUCAAUUAAUUGUAUUUAGUUUCCAAAUUAUUCUUUUUUUUUGUUUUAAUAGCUCUUAUUCAUGUUCCUUAGCGUUUAAAGUCUAAAAAAAAUUAGUUAUUUAUUUUUUAUAACUUAUAUAUGAUUUUUAAAUAUUUAUAUUUAAAUUAAAAAGUAAUUUUUUUUUGUGACCUUUGCCUAAAUGAGAAAAUGUUUCAAUGAAAAAUAAAUACUAUAUUCUAAGAAUAUUUCUAUUCAAUAUUGUUAUUUCCUAAACUAUAUUGUCAUAUGUGGCUAAUUGUCAAAGCAAUAGCAAGCUGUUAGCUUAAAGCAAAGCAUAUUCAUGCUUCACCCAUGAGAAUACAACCAAUUCUAAUGCAUGUAUUGUGACGCACGUGCAAACUAAAAGGAGGCACAUGGGUUAAUUGUCAAAGCAAUAGCAAGCUGUUAGCUUAAAGCAAAGCACGUGCGUGCUUCAUCAAUAGGAUCUGUGAGUGGAUUAUUAUUAUUAUUAUUACUAUUAUAUAUUUCACAAAACAUUUAUGUUUGAUAGUAUGAUUUAGUAUAAUGUUAUGAUUAUAUGUACGUACAUUAUAUGAUUGACUGAGUCAUGAGAUGUAAUUGACAGGCACCAUAUGUGUACAUUUCCUCAUAGGCUCUACGCAUACGUAUUGAGAGUUAAAUUACUCGACCCUUGUGAUAUUGUAAAUUCUACUGAGUAUUGAGAGGUUUUUCUCCCUUUUUUACUCGUGUGAUGAUGAUCCCAGUGAGUAUUGAGAGUUAUUUUCCCUGUAUAUUAUUUGGUGCAAUUUUGUCAUGUGUGUAUAUACGAGUUCAUGUUUGCUUUUGUAAAGCGUUCAGUGUAAAGUUAUGUCAUACAAUUAUGACGAGCACUAAAGCACUAAUUUAUUUUUAUAUAUAAUUAUAUUCAUUCAUUGAGCCGCAAGCUUACUAUUUUCCUAUUUACCCCAUUUCUCUAAGGUUUCCAUAGGAUUUCGUGUAUUUCAAUUUCUGAUCAAUUGAGGUUGGGCCACGACACGCAUUACUGCACGAAUUACAUUUUGACCACGUUUAUAUUUAUAUGUAUAUUUUUGAAGUGUAUGUAUGUUCAGUGAGAUAUGAACUAUGUAAGUUUUUAAUAAAUUUUUGAAUGAGGCACAUAGAUUAUUAUAUGUUUAUAACAAAGGCCAAGGCUAGUGUUAUAUAUUCAUGAAUUAAGUUUAUGUCAUGAGCUUUAGAUAUAAAAUUGCAUGAUUCACCCCAGAUCCAACAGAAGGGUUGAGGUGAUUUGUGUCAUGUAUGAUAUGUACAUAUUUAUAUUCAAUAUAACCACCAUUUGAAUGAUAGUUUUUUAAAAUCAGUGCACAUGUGUCGUAUCAUAACUCACUUGUUGUAUGGCUAACAUGGUACUUCUGAUAUAAUCUAAAAUUUCUUCCUUAGUUAGAGGCAUUUGUUUUAAAAUUUUAUUUAAAAGAAGGUCAUUUUAAAUUUCAAAAUGUAAAGUGUAUUUUCUACAACACUAAAGGAUGAAACAUCCUUCAAUAUAGAUUUCUUAAUAAAUUUUAAGAGAACUAACAGAAAGUGGUUAUUUCAUUCAUGGUUAUUAAAUCAAAAUUUGAAUUAGAUCAUCACUGGUCCAAAAUAAACUAUCGUCAUUUCAAAUUGAAGCAUGAAACCGUGAAUGGAUGCAUCCUUAAAUAAAAGGAUACAUUUUUAUUAUAUAUGACACUGUUUAAUUAGAUAUAUCUUUACAGUCAGGACACAUUUUUAGAGCACCAUUUAUAUUGAAAAUAUUCCAGCAUAAAAUAUGUCUCUCUCCUUAUACGAGUAUUUUGCAAAUAAUUUGCAAAUAAUACAGAGCCACCACGAGUUCAAAAAUAAUAAAACAAUAACAUUGCUCACUUGCUGGACUGGGCUGGACUGGGCUGAUUGGGCUGGGCCUGCUUUCAUCAUCGCAUACACGGUGAGGGAAAUUGAAAUUGAUGAUGGCGUUGGCCGCUCAAUUCCUGCUUCGGAUUCCCCAACUCGGAAGGAAAAAUAUAAACUUUCCGUCGUAUAAGCAUCGCGGGAAUUAUCAGCCAUUGUUGUUGUCUUGCAAUUACAGCACCAAUGACAAUUGUUCUUCAACUUCUUCUUCUUCUUCUUCUUCUUCGAAGAAUUACUUAGAAUUGACGGACGAUGAGAUGUUUCGCGAAUGCUAAAUGGACGCGUACAAAUCGUCGGGACCAGGCGGUCAGCACCGCAAUAAGCGCGAAUCUGCCGUACGUCUCAAGCACGUACCGACCGGCGUCAUAGCACAUGCCGCCGAACACCGAUCGCAGCACAAGAAUCGCGCGUCAGCUUUGUCGCGCCUCCGCACUCUUUUGGCCCUCAAAGUGAGGAGCAGUGUGAAUCUUGAUGCGUAUUCGCCGCCGCCACAGCUUCUUCAAAUCCUUCCUCCUAAGUCUACUAUUAGAAGUUCAGAAGUUGGUCCACAAAUUGGACCUAACAAUCCUAAAUUUGCUUUGGUAUUACUCUAUUCACUCUUGCUUUGUUUUUUUGUUUUCUGUUAAAAUUUAAGUCAUCGUAAUGUUUUUUUUUUUGGUUAACUUCAGGGAAUGCAAGCUCUGCUUGAUCUAAUUUUCGUAGGUUAAGCACUGGAGCAUUGUCACGGUUGAUUCUAUUGGAUGAUUCUCUUCGAAUGGCCGUGAAUGAGUUCAGGACUUCUAAGGUAUGCUAAUUCAUAGCUGAUAGUGUGUAUUACGAUAAGAUUCAACCUGUUGGUUAAUUUAAAAUUGUUAUAUUCUUUCUUAUUUGUGCAACAAAUAUAAUAAGUCUGUUUUUUGUGGUUGAGUGUCUGCGUCAGUGCCUGAUGGCAUUUUUUGUGGUUUAAGUAGCUUUAUAGCAUAUUUGGCUCUCUGUUUAUGAAUAAUGUUCAAUAGCAACCUGCCCCAUUGAUACGAGAAAUGUAUGAUAUAAUUUUUCAAGAUACCUACCUGCAUUAUGAAUUGUUAUUGGAAGGAAGUACGAGAAUAAAUUAAGAGCAAAGACUGAUUAAAAGAUGUAUCUUUCAUUAUUAAGCGAAGUGUAUGUUCUGCUUCUCAUUCACUUUACCAGAAUUACAAAAGUUUUAUGUUAUUGAUGGUUGGAUAGUUUCUGGGUUAUCCUUGUUUUUUUUUUUUGUGUUAAUUGCUUUACAUACAUUAUGUGUGUAAUUUUUUAAUGGACAAUCUUCAUUUGAAACAUGAAAAUUUUAAAAAACUUUCCGAUUUGUGCAGGGUAUGAAGCCUCUUAAGUAGGACUUCUUAGGUGCUACUAUUGUGUUCGGCAAAUAUUUUCUUCUUUUAUUUUUCUUUUUUCAGUCACCAUAAUGGGAGUCAUGGUGAAACAACUUACUAAUCACUCUGGACAGGAAUGGGCUUCUGUAAGUGAAGCACACUUAUUUCACUCUUUCCUUAGUAUGGAGCUGCUUACCGUUGGGAUGAAGAUGGUAAUAGCUGCUUUAGAAAUUAGUUUUCUUCAGUAGGAAAAUUCUAAAUCUUGGAAAAUUUAAAGUUGUACUAGAAAACAAGCUGCCUAUUCAACCAAUGGCUAAAUGUAGCAUAGUAGUCUCCUUAGACGAUUAAUUAGAUUGCAUUCCUUUUGAUCUCUCUCUUUUCAUUUUUUCUCCUUUUUGACUUGCACCUCUCUGUUCCUUUCCCCAAAAAAAAAUUUGCACUUCUCUGCUGAUGUCUUCCCAAUAUCCUAUGAUGCACAAAUGCACAAAUACUCUUGAAAUGUGGUGAAAUGUUUAUGGUAUUACUUGUCGUAGCAGAAGCAUCCUCCUAAAAUUAUUUAUAAGAAACUCUUUUUACUCUCUAUGCCAGUGGAGUGGGCCUUCAAAAGGAAAGGAAAAGUAGUACCUAAAGUUGUGAAAAGGAAGAAUUUGCAAGUCAAAAAUGAAUAUAUUAUGCAUGGCUACAUAAAUUGGUACAUAUAGCUUUUGCACCUAAUCUGAUUAUCUCGAUUCCUGGACCCAGAACUAAUAGCCUAAUUAUUACACAAGAUAUUUUGCUGCUGUCAUACUACUUGCAUAUAUGAAUGCUGAUUUUUAAACGGAAAUAUUUAACAGAGCACUGACAGAAACAGAGGUAACACCCGAGCCGGGUUACCGUGGUAAUUGAAAACAAUCAAUUAACACGAUAAAUCUGGUGGGUUUGUAGUUAAUUCUGCCAGCGCUCUGUUAGCUCCAGUAUUUGACUUAUUGACCUAUCUGUGGUUGAAAGAAAAAUGAUUUAAGUAAACUUUCGAAAAUGUUUUAUCCUUGUUUUAUUUCUGAAUAUCAGCAGUGCAUCAUUUUGAAAAUGUGACUAUGGGGUUUCAGGAUCCUCUCGAGCCAGUUUUGUUGUUCACAAAACCCCUUGUGCCAGAAAAAUUGGAUGCUGCAGGUAUUGUUCCGCCAUCAGAUUCUUCUACGAGGAAUGGCACUAUAGCAAGAACUCACAAAUUUCAUGGAAGAAUUGGUCGAGGGGGGCGGAUAGUAUUUGAUAGAUGUAAUCCUCUUAUGCACUCCUCAACUGAUAGUGCCACGUCUUUUUACUUGCCACCAAAACCCCGCACAUCUAUGUACAGUUAAAUUGUCCGAGCUCGAGCAUUAUUCGUUAGGGAGCCAAGUGUAAUUAUGCUCCGGCUGAUAUUUAUGUAGUUAAAUUGAAUACUUCCAUUGUCCGAGCUCCAGCAAUUAUUUGUUUGGGAAGCCAAGUGUAGUUAUGCCGAGGGCAAGCAAAAUACUGGGCUUGAUGAAUCUUUUGAGGCUUGGUCACAGGUAUUUCAUGCCGUGCAUCAUCUUGCCUUAUUCUUUUUAAAGAAAUGACCUUGCCCUAAUUUUCCUUUCAAGUUUAAACUUAAUGAGCUUUUAUUACAUCCUUUAUUGUUGAAAUGCUUGUGCUAAUCAUAGUAUUUUCAAAAUUUCCGCGCCCCAGUUGAUUAUAAAUUUUGUGUGAAUAUUACAAGAUAAAACUUACCUUUAAAAUGUUAACGAACCUGUAAGAUUGGACUUCUCUUUAAGACCUUGAAUUAAGUGGAGGGUGUUUUGGGGUUAAUAAACCAGCAACUAUGCAUAUACUUGGCCAAUGAGGAAUCCUACUAGUACAGAAUAAGGUUGCACAAGACAGUUGAAUAGAUGACGCAAUGGAGACGUCUCUGUAUCGACUCAAUUCAAACUAAUUGUACAACUUCAUUUCUGAAGGAGUCACCAUUUUUAAUCCCAUUUGGAGAAUGUGUACAUCAGGUGCUAAUGCUUAUAAUGAAAAUGAUGCACUAUGUUUUGUGUUUUUCGAAUUUAAAAAUGUGUCUAAUAGUGUAUUUUCAGAAUUGGACUAUAAAAAUAAAAAUAGAGAAAACGAUAUAAAAUUAAGGUAAUACUGGACGAAAAAGUAUGGCCAAGGAAGCAGUAAUAUUUGGUGCAUUUCAUUUUUUCAAUAAAAAAAUGAAAACAAAAUUUUCAAUAUCUAUUCAUCAUUUUUUGGAAAAAAAAAAAAAAGCUUAAAGAAUAAAUGAAAGGGUGUUUUAAAACAAAAAUGUGAUUGGUGUUUGAAAAAUGACUGUCUCGGUUAGGUAAAACAGUCACAUAAUCAUUUUUUUUUAAAACACAAACCUUUUGGUUCAUAAAUAAUCACACAAAUUCUAAUGUUUUAUCUAAAAGAGAGUCUGUGUAUCUCAAAAGAGACAUGUGUGACAUUUUCUAAAAACAAAAUAUCUUUAUAGUUAUUUUGCCAAAUCACGUGUUGCCUUUAGAAAUAGAAUAGAUUUUAAUUUGCCCAAUUUACAAUAAAAAUCUUUAAUUUAUCACCUAAAAGUAAUUUACCCUAUUUAUUAUUAAGAAGAUUAAAAAAAAGAAAAUUCAUCAAUACAUUCCUUAUUUGCCCCUCGUCUUUUGGACGAAAAUGAAGAAUAAAUUGAGGUUUACAUUGAGAGCAAAUUAGAGAUUAUCAUUUUAUUUGGGAAUGAAUUGAAGUUUAUCCUUAGGAAUAAAAAUUCAAGAGAAGUACACGAAAAAGGUAAUAAUUUUCACUUUUUAUGGAGUAUUUGGAUAAGGGUAUUUUGCACCCCACUAUUUUUAUAAAUCCACCCUAUUUCUAGAAACUAAUUGCAAUGAAUUCACAAUAUUUUUUAAAAAAUACAAAUUAAUAAAAAUUUUGUAUAGUUAAUAAGUUAAAUCCUUCUAUUGAUUUUCUUCAUGAGUUCUUUGACCAUAUUUAAUCAUAAAGUUUAAUACAAAAUUUAUUUUAGUAUUUUAUUAUUAUGAUAUAUAGCGACUAAAUUACCAUAAUAAACAUGAGUUAUUGUAUCUAAUAAUUUAUGUAUCUAAUUUUGUGGCUUAUAAUAUAAUAUUUUUAAAUAAAAUCUAAUUGUGAUUUUCUCUACUUUAAUGUGUAAAUAACAUAAAAUUGACAUCCCAAUAAUUUACAUGAGUAUCAUGCCCUAAAGAUACUACUUUAGUUUAAUUAAAGAUUAAAACUUACACUAGUAAAGUAGUAUUAGAAACAAUGAGUUUGGUAUAAAAUUAGAAAAAUAUUUAAAUUAAAGUAAAUUCUUAAUAGUUUUACCUUAUAAGGGUAAAAUAAUCAAUUUAAACUUAUGACAAAGCAAUCUUUGUAGCUAAAUAUAAUAAAAUAAUCUAAAUCAUAAGAAAGUAAACUAAAAUAAAUCUAGUUAAUUAACUCUACAAAGUUCUUCUUUGUUUGAAAAUUUUAAAACAUAACAUGUAUGUUUUAUAAUUAUUUUUUAAAAAACGGGAUGAGUUUGCAAAAAUUAUUAGACGGAAAUACCAUCACCCGGAGUAUUUUAGUAAAGCACCUGAUAUUCGUUUCAGACGAAGUAUUAUUAUUUUGAUUUUUCAGGAAUAUCAGUAAAAUUUUCAUAUAAUAGUGGAAUAAGCCCAAUAAAUAAUUGUAUAAAAAUUUUUUGUCAUAGCCAUAGUCUCAUUGAGGUGGAAGCAGGGGAGGAGUAGGCCAAGCCAGGCCACAGAAAAUAUUCAAUUGAAAAAGCAAGAAAGGAAUGAGCGUGUGGAUGGUAAGGGCUCGGGCUCCCUCUUUCAUUAUUCCAAUAACAACACUCAGGAUUGGAAAUGGAAAUGGAGAUGUAAAAGGCCGGCGCUUGCCCCUAUUGAGCAAUAAGAAUUGGCAGUUUCAGUUGCAGUUGGAGUUGCAGCAGAGGAAUGAGGAGAAGAAGAAGAGACAAAAUGUUACCAUCAGUUAUACUAACAGUAGCAGUGGAGGGGAUUCUGCUUCUGCUGCACUGGAAUUGGAGGUUAAUGAGACAAAAUGUUACCAUCAGUUGUUCAGAAGCCAACUGUGCUUAUAGGUAAUUCUGUUGGAAGCCUAGCUUGUGUUAUCGCUGCCUCAGGUAUAUUUAUUUUAACUUCCCCUUGGACAUCAGAUAUUUUUCAACUUGCUUGCAAAGAAACACUUGUCGCUAAUUAUCCUUUUUGGUAUCUAUGGUUUACGAUAAACCUGCUAUAUUUUCUACCAUAAGAAUCCAGUCAAACCCUUGUUCGAGGGCUUGUUCUGUUGAAUUGUGCUGGUGGCAUGAACAACAAGGCAAUUGUUGAUGAUUGGAGAAUCAAGCUAUUGUUACCAUUGCUUUGGUUCAUUGAUUUUUUGUUGAAGCAAAGGCCAAUUGCUUCUGCUAUAUUUGAGCGUGUGAAACAAAGGUAUUUUCUCUUCUCUCUAUUCAGUCCAUUGUUCAUUAUCCCAAGACACUAGAGUCAAAAUUAAAAAAAAAAAAAACUCUAUGAUGUGCAUAUCUUGGUGCUGUAGGGAAACACUGAGGAAUAUUUUACUGUCCAUUUAUGCAAAUAAGGAAUCUGUGGAUGAAACACUGGUUGAGGUAUUAAUAUUCUCCUCUUAUAUGCCAUUUUAACCUGUUACAAAAAUGGCUACUCAGAAUUCAUGAAUAAACCUCAAAACUGCAGAUCAUACGAGAGCCUGCCAAUGAGGAAGGGGCACUUGAUGCAUUUGUUUCGAUUGUAACAGGCCCACCAGGGCCGAACCCAGUUCAAUUGAUGCCAUCCAUCUCUGUACCUGUACUAGUUUUAUGGGGUGAUGAGGAUCCAUUCACACCCCUCGAUGGACCUGUUGGUAAAUACUUCUCAUCUCUGCCUUCUAAACCCUCAAAUGUGAAGUUAAUUGUAUUGGAAGGAGUAGGACAUUGCCCCGAUGACGACAGGCCUGAGUUGGUCCAUGAAAAGAUGCUUCCUUGGUUGGCUGAAACAUUUAAUUUCUGAGGAAUUACUUUCUCAUCAGCAAGUUUUAAUGAGCAUUAUAUAUUAUUCCUAUUGUAAAAAGACAAAACAACUCUUGUAUUUAUGUUGUACAUAUCAAUUCUUAUUCAACCGCUUGGUUAUCUUUUGGCGCCGAAAGGAAUGUUGGAGAAACUGAUCUCUGACAAGUUGUAGAAGCUCCAAAUUGAUUCAAGAAAUGUAUCAAAUUAUUCAAUAAAAAAUAAAAUUCAGCACAAUAAUAAAGAAUAAUGAUUUAGUAAUCCAUAUUGCUCAUGUCAAUGAUAUGAGAAUGAUAAGAUCCAAUUUUAUACAUGAAAAAGAUACAAUAAUCUAAAUCGAAAUAUAAGUUCACAGGCAUCCUCAAUCCUUUCCUUACAAGUCAUUUUUGUAAAUAUAAAUGCUAACCAUAGACGAUACCACAUCAACUAUGCAAUCAAAUGCACCAUUCCAAAUAUGGAAUUGGUAGAGAUACUUGAAAAAGUGCAUACAUGUUUAAGCAAAUGGAUUCACAACUCAGGUGAGUUGAGUGAAAAUGACACCUAUCUCAGUCUUCUUCGUUACAGUUGAACCAUGUGCUUGGGUCUUCCAUUGACGUAGGAUCUGGGGUGUGAAGUAAAUGGAUCCCACAUUUUUUCACCCCGCAGCACUGGCACUCCAAAGGUGGAAAAACAUUAAAGUGGACAGCCUCAGGAAUGCAAUUGCAUUUCCAAAAACCAUUAAAAUCAUCUUCGCAGAACAGAUAGUACCCCAAAUGUAAGUGAUCUGAUUCUACAUAAUUAACUCUGCUCUGAGAUAAUCGUGUGUCAUGCGUACCACAAUCUUUGGUGGUUUUCACUUUGAGCUCAAAAGAAAAUGAAAACCAUCUGCCACAAUCUACAUGACGGUCUGAAAAUGCUAAAAUAGCACUAAAUGCAAUGCCCUGCACUCUGCUAUUAUUGAAGAAAUCUGCCGGCAUCUCCAAGGUUAUAAAAGAUCCCACACUUUGAAACUCAAACCACUUUGGAAUUUCAUUCCCAGGUAGUACUAUAUGACCUUUGCCCAUGUAAAAACUUCUCUGUACCAAAAAAACAUAAUUUUAAACGCAAAAAAAAAAAAGAUUGUAGAAAUUGUAAGUAGAGAGAGAGUUAAAGACACACAUUUAGCCAUACUUCUUGCCAACGUACAGCUAGCGUAUGGUUCGUAUGCUGAAUUCUCAGGGUAUCUUCAACAAUUCCUGCAGUAGAAUUACCUUCCAAUUUAAAAUUAUUGCUCCGGUCAAAAAAAAUUGCCUGUAAGAUUCAUAACUUAGAGAACAAACCUAUAAAUGGUUGCAGUGACAAGCAACCUCGUUCAAGGAAUGGAGGCUUUUGUACGAAUUUGAACCUCUCACCAUAACUUAAGAGGAGGUAUCCCGACACGAAAAGCUGGAUAAUGCUUUCUGGUAUUCACUCAAUAUUGGUUUUCGCUAGAUUCAAUGUUAUUGGCGAGGAUAAUUGGCCAAGACAUUCGGGCAAUCUCUGAAGAUUUGAGCAACCAUGGAUAUCAAGAGCUCCAAGAGAUUUCAAUCUAUAGAGGCUGCUUGGGAGACUCUUAAGCCUUUUACAAUCUGAAAGGUCCAGCCACGAAAGCCUAAGUAGACGCUCAAUCGAUGCGGGCAGUUCUUCAAUUGCAAUCCUCCUUAAAAAUAACCAGCUUAUAUUACCUGGUGAGAUCUCUGGAAGCCUUUUCAGUUUUGAGCAGCCCGAUAGAUCAAGUUUGGUAAGAAAUUCCAAGUUAAAUAUUCCAGAUGGAAGACUUUUCAGGCUUUUGCUACCUCUUAGAUUCAACGUAACUAGCUUGUUCAGACGUGGCAUCAACGUGGGAUUUGGAAUUUUGGAAAUUAGCUUAUGGCAGGCAGCAUGGAUUAUCUGGUUUAACUUACUAUAAUGCUGCUCGGUCAAAAAAGAGGCCAAGACAAAAUCGUUACCACGUAUAAUAAUUUAAGGUUGUUAUUGAAAGAUUGCACAUAUAUAAUAAGAUAUGCAUACCUUCACACAAUCCCAAAGUCGUUCAAUGUCACUAUCAGGCACUUCAAGUAACACAAGUUUCCCUGCACCAAGGUUUGAAGGCAAUGACUUCAACGGAUAUCCAUACCAGUGAAGAUAUUUCACUUCAGCAAAUCCGGAAUCUUGCAAAUAAGAUAUCUUACCUUUGUUCUCUCCAUUGACUGAAGAACUAUAGAACUUUAAAAAUCUCAAUUUAGGCAUCUGUGUGAAAGUAUUGGGAUUUAGACGGAGCUCUUUUACUUUUGACAUAUCCAAACAUAUGCCCUCAAUUUUUUCUGUCCCCUAAAAAUAAGUGAAAAAGCAAUAAAGUUAAAAUCAAAUGAAAGAUAUGUGUAUUCCACCAAUGAAUCGCACUUCAACCCCACCAAGUCAAAUUUUUGGGGCAAGUUUCUCACUAAUUCACAAUUAGAGGUAGCUUAGUUAAUAAUUCAACUUUUUAUUUAUUAUUUAGUCGAGUUUAUGUGGGAUUGGAGUGGACUCUUCGUCAUUUCUCAAAUCAAUAAUUCAUGUUUUUAGUUAUUGCUAGGCAGUUAAACUUUUAAUUGCAAAUGCACAAAGAAACAUAAUAACACAAGUAAUACUUAAUAUAAAAAUUCCGUCUGUGUACUAUACAAAUUGGCAUAUCAAUUAUGCUUGCAAACGAUUAUGCAAGUUGUCAUGGCAUUUAUAAUUUAUUGCUACGUCAUCUAACGGAUAUGGUUUUUUCUAAUCAUUGUUGCUCUUCUAUUAAUUCUAAGACUCAUCAGUUCGAGCAUAUAUAAAUAUAUUCAUAUCAAGUUUGUAAAUGCUAGAAUAUUUCAAAAUAAUUAUCCACAACAAACUGCUUACCAUGUUAUAUGUAAGAACUUCAUAGUAAAUCUUGCAUUCUUAUCUUGUUGUAUGAACCAAUAGCAAUGAGAGAUUUAUCAACAAGAACACUUAUUCCUAUUUCUGGGUAGAAACCGCUUGCAUUAAGGAAUUUCAUUACUAGAUUUACAUCCUCGCCUGGAAAGAAACAAGCAACAUCAAGGAAAAUACUUUUUUCCUCAUCGUCCAAACUAUCGUAACUUAUUUUUAAUACCUCUAGGAUACUUGGAUGGAGGAUUCUUUGCAAUUUAUCUAUUGCACUUUCCCAGACUUCCUUUUCUCUUUCAUAUAGAAAGCAACCCAACACUUUAAGAGCUAAAGGAACACCUUGAGCAUAUUUCAUUACCUUGCUUGAAAAUUUCUCGUAACCAACGUCAGGACGGUUUUGUUUGAAGGCAUGUCGACUGAAAAGCUCAAGGGCGUGAUGAUAUUCUAAUGCCUCCAUCUCAUAUAUUUUCCUCACCCCCCAAUUUCUAAGCACUUGUUUAUUUCUGGUGGUUAUUAUGAUUCGACUCACAGGCGUCAAACAAUCAAGACUUCCAAUUAUAGAUUCUAAUUGGCUGAAGCAAGUCACAUCAUCAAAAACAAUCAGAACCUUCAUGCGGCUGAGCCUUCUAAAAUUAAGACCAAUAUCAAGACUCACAUUUUUAUCUUUCAAUAAAUUUGAAAGAAGUUUUUGUCGCAAGCAAACUAAUCCUCCCGGUUUUUUUGACUCUUCUCUAACAUUUUCAAGGAAGCAGGAACCUUCAAAAUCGCUAGAGAUUUUGUUAAAAAUAGCUCUAGCGAUUGUUGUUUUGCCUAUACCACCAAUGCCCCAAAUCCCUAAAGCGUAAACAUCUUUCGACUGAACACCUAGUAGAGAUUCAAUUUCCUCAACUCUUGAUUCUACUCCAACCAGCUGGUUUUUGUUAUCAUUCGGCCGAAAAACUUGAUCCAGCAGUCUCUUUAAAAUGUGAUUAAUAGCUUCGUUUAUAAGUUCCGAUUCAGGCCUACCAAAUACAUAAAAUUAGCAGCAGUAACUUCAAAUAGAAGGGAUUUGCAUAAAAUUUGAAAUAAAGGAGAUUGCUAGUUUUCCUAUUGAAAUUAAUAUAUACCACUUAUUUUUUUUUCAUAAGGAUAAUAUUGCAAAGUGAUGGUACCAGGAGAGUUAUUAAAUAUUGUAAAAAUAGUCAGAAUAAGUAGUAUAUAUUGAUUUGAGUAAGAGAAUUUACAAUCUCCCUAUAAAUUAAUAACUCUUUAAUUGCAGGAAUAUGUUACAUGUGGAAGAGAUUUUUUUUUUCCUAAUGGUAUAUGAGUAAGAGAUUGAAAUUGAUUAAAAAACGACAAAACACCAUUAAUUUUGUUAAAAUAUAUUGUAAACUUCUGGAGCUUUUAUUAUUAAUUCUGCAAAAAUUCUUUUAUAGGAGUUCAAAAGUGGGGAAGUUAAAGAAGUCUAGAAUUUGAUGCAUGAAAAAAUUUAAAAGUGUAGUUUAUCAUCUGGAAAAUUUAACUAAGAGUGCUGCGUGAAUUUUAUUUACAGUGUUGAAUAUUAGUACGAGAAAUUAAAGGUAACUUUUCACCUGAUGUUCUGAGAAGGAAAGCCAGACAAACUGGCUGCUUCCUUCAAAGCAUUCCUCCAUGUCUGCAGCUUCUUUGAAUUCUCCUUAAACCUUUCUUCAAGCUUCGAAAAUGAAUUGCCAAAACUCCCAGUUUGGUUUCUCACGUCUGAUGGAUCAACCCGAUAGAAAACCGGAAUCACAAUCUGUGCAUACUCUUUCUUGCACUCGAGGAUCUUUACAAGUUCAUCGAGACACCAUCCAGAAGAUGCAUACCCUUCUGAGAAGACAAUAACUGAAAUGGCUGAUGCUUCAAUUGCAUUCACCAGUGACUCCGAAAUUUCGUCUCCUCUGUUAAGUUGGUCAUCAAUGAAAGUUUGGAUAUUUUGUCGACACAGAGCAGAAUAGAGAUGGCUAGUAAAGUUGUCGCGGGUGUCCUCUCCUCUGAAACUAACAAAAACAUCAUACUUCUUGUUGUUUCGAGAAGAAGAAGCCAUAAUCAACAGAAACAGUUGAAUUGAUGAGAGAGAGAUUUUGAUUCGGAUGAAAACAAUUAUUGAACCAAAUGUGCGUGACUCUGUAGAAUAAAUCGAUGCUAUGAACCUUCCUUCAAGUUCCGUGAUAGUUUUUCAAUUUCAUCUCAUUGUCCACACGAACACCAUACUUUUCAACACACGUGCUUCUGUGCUUUAAUGCUCAUAACUGCCAGCAAUAAGUAGGGUGAUAUUUUAAUUUUUAUCUCUGAAUUUAUCUUAUCCGUCCUCAUCUCUCAAUUAAUUGUAUUUAGUUUCAAAAUUAUUCUUUUUUUUUUUGUUUUAAUAGCUCUUUUUCAUUAUCCUUAGGGUUGAUUGUUAAACAUAUGAAGUCUAACAUUUAAAAAAAUAUUAAUUUUUUUUAAUAACUUAUAUAUAAUUUUUAGACAUUUACAUUUAAAUUAAAUAAGUAAAUUUUUGCGACCUUUUCUGAAAUGAGAAAAUGUUGGAAUGAAAAAUAAAUAAUAUAUACUAAAAAUAUUUCUAUUCAGUAAAUUUAUUUCCUAAACUACGAAGCCUAAUCCCUUUUACUCAUUUUGAACUUUGGAGAACAAAUUAAAAAAUCUAUUUUAAUUUACUUUUUGUGACUUAAAUUUUUUUAUUAUAUUUGAUCAUAAAGAUUGAUUUGACAUAAGUCUAAAUUGAUUAUUUUAUCCUUAUAAGGUAAAACUAAUUCUUUAACUUCAAUAUUUUCUAAUUUUAUAUCAAAUUCAUUAUUUUUAAUACUACUUUAUUAGUAUGAUUGUAAAACAUUAAUUAAAAAAACAUAAUGUCUUUAUGGCACAAUACUCAUGUAAAUUAUUAGCUUGUCAAAUUUACAUCAUUUACACGUAAGAUAGUGAAAAUAAUAGUUAAAUUUCAUUUAAAAAUAUUAGUUCACAUAAUUAAAUACCUAAAUUAUUAGAUACAAUAACCCGUGUUUAUUGUACAAUUUGGCCAUUUUAUAUCAUAAUACUAAAAUAGUAAAGUAAAAUUUAUAUCAAGUUAUGAUCAAAUAUACUCAAAGAAAUCUAAUAAAAAAAAUAAUAGAAGGAUUUAAUUGAUUAACUAUACAAAAUUUUUAUUAAUUUGUAUUUUUUUAAAAAUAUUAUGAAUUCAUUAUAAUUAUGGUAUACAACAUGUGAAUUUAUCAAAGCCUAAGUCAACCCAAACUAAAAUCAAAUUAAAAUGAUUUUAGUUGGGUUGCGUUGGACUGUUGCCCAAACUUUGGGUUGGUUUAGUUUGAAACUUGCGCUUGGAUCUUCGGUUGAAUUUGGGGCUUACAAUAAAUCGACCCCACAUUUUUUCUUCCCGCAUUCCGUAGAAUAAUAUUAUAUGUAAUAAAAUAACACAAAAUUUAUUACACAAGGCACAAAUGACAAAAAAUAAUUUUCAUCUUGUAGUGAACUUUUACUUUUCUUAUUGAUAAUGUACUAUUUUUUUAAUUCUAUUUACUUCUGUGAACAUAUAAUUGUAGGCAUCCACAAAUGUUAAGGAUAAGCAAUUAUUUCAUAUAAGUUAUUUCACAACUCCUGUACUUAUAUCAUCAAUUGCUUGACCUUUAGUUAUUUUCCUUGCUAACUUGAGUGAGACUCACCGAUGCAGCUAAUAUUGGAUUUCUUGGAUGAAGCUGCUCAGAAGCCAAUAGUGACAUGAAAAUACCAGGUAUAUUAAUUUAACUUCUACCUUGUGUUUUUGCUGCCUCAGGUAUAUUAAUUUAACUUCCUCUUGGGCAUCAGAUAUUUGUCAUCAUGCUUGCAAAGAAACACUUGCACCUGAUUAGCCUUUUCGGUUAAUAUGGUUUGCGAAAACCUGCUAUAUUUUCUACCAUAAAAAUCCAGUCAAACACUUGUUCGAGUGCUUGUUUUGUUGAAUUGUGCUGGUGGCAGCAUGAACAACAAGGCAAUUGUCGAUGAUUGGAUAAUCAAGCCACGGUUGCCAUUGCUUUGGUUCAUUGAUUUCUUGUUGAAGCAAAGGCCAAUUGCAGAUGCAAUCUUUGAAGAUGUGAAAAGAAGGUAUUUUCUCCUCUCUAUUCAGUCCAUUUUUUGUUAUCCUAAACCACUAGAAUCAAAAAUUAAAAAAUUCUAUGAUGUGUAUAUAUUGGUGCCGUAGGGAAACACUGAGGAACAUUUUACUGUCCAUCUAUGCAAAUAAGAAGUCUUAUUCAACCGCUUGAAUAUCUUUUGGCGCCGAAAAAAAUGUAGGAGAAACUGAUCCCUGACAAGUUGUAGAAGCUCCAAAUUGAUUCAAGGCAUAUAUCAAAUUAUUCAAUAAAAAGUCAAAUUCAGCACAAUAAUAAAGAACAAUUAUUUAGUAAUCUAAAUUGCUCAUGUUAACGAUAUGUGAAUGAUAGGAUCCAAUUUUAUACAUGGAAAAAAUACAAUAAUCUAAAUCGAAAUAUAAAUUCACAGGCAUCUUCAAUCCUUUCCUUAUAAGUCAGUUUUAUAAAUAUAAAUUCCAGCCAUAGACGAUACCACGUCAACUAUGGAAUCAAAUGCACCAUUCCAAAUAUGGAAUUGGUACAUAUACUUGAAAAAGUGCACACAUUUUCAAAUGUGCGCAAUGGGGUGAGGGGCAAGUUUUCAUUGAUAGAGAACUUGUGAGUUUUAUUGUUGUGCGUUCUGUAAUAUCCGACAUCGCCUAGCUUGUGAGUUUUAUUACUGGUGUAUAAGUUACGUGCUCUCCUAACUACGUGGAUUGUUUUGAGUUGUAAGGCUCAAUAACAAAAUCGUGAUGUGUUGUGUGCACAAAGUAAGAAAAAGAAGGCCAAUAAUUUUAAUUUUACAAUAUACAUCAUGUGCUUUUCAUCCAUCGAAAGUUAUUACAUGGAUGUUUUGUUCUAAGAACUGAUUUUGGCAUUUUCUCCUAUUAUUAAUUGUCAUUAGAAAAAGGAAAACAGUGAAAAUACAUUCACGAAACACGUGCUUGGAUCUUCUAUUCAUGAAUUCCUAGAAUCUGGGAAGCAAAAUAAAUGGAUCCCACAUUUUUUCACCCCGCAGCACUGGCACUUCAAAGGCGGAAAAACAUUAAAGUGGACUGCCUGAGGAAUGCAAUUGCAUUUCCAAAAACCAUUAAAAUCCUCUUCACAGAACAGAUAGUACCCCAAAUGUAAGUGAUAUGAUUCUACAUAAUUAACUCUGCUCUGAAAUAUCUGUGUGUCAUGCGGACCACAAUCUUUUGUGGUUUUCACUUUGAGCUCAAAAGAAAAUGAAAACCAUGUGCCACAAUCUACAUGACGGUUUGAAAAUGCUAAAAUAGCACUAAAUGCAAUGACCUGCACUCUGCUAUUAUUGAAGAAAUCUGGUGGCAUCUCCAAGUUUAUAAAAGAUCCCACACAUUGAAACUUAAACCACUUUGGAAUUUCAUUCCCAGGUAGUACUAUAUGACCUUUGCCCAUGGAAAAACCUCUCUGUACCAAAAAAACAUAAUUUUAAACCCCCAAAAAAAAAAAGAUUGUAGAAAUUGUAAGUAGAGAGAGUUAAAGACACACAUUUACCCAUAUUUCUUGCAAACAUACAGCUAGCAUAUGGCUCAGGGUAUCUUGAACAAUUCCUGCAGUAGAAUCACCUUACAAUUUAAAAUUAUUACUCCGGUAUAAAAAAAUAAAAAAAACUGCCUAUAAGAUUCAUAACUUAGAGAACAAACCUAAAAAUGGUUGCAGUGCCAGGCGGCCUCGUUCAAUGAAUGAAGGCUUUGGUGAGGAUUGAAGCCUCUCACUCUAACUUAAGAGGAGGUAUCGCAACAUGACAAGUUGGGUAAUGCUUUUUGGUAUUCUCUUAAUAUUGGUUUUCGCUAGAUUCAAUACUAUUGGCGAGGAAAAUUGGCCAAGACAUUCCGGCAAUCUUUGAAGAUUUGAGCAACCACAGAGAUUAAGAACUCCAAGAGAUUUCGACUAACAUAGGCUGCUUGGGAGACUCUUAAGCCUUUUACAAUCUGAAAGGUCCAAGUACCCGAGCCUAAGGAGACGCUCAAUUGAUGAGGGCAGUUCUUCAAUUGCAGUCCCCCUUAAAAAAAACCAGCUUAUAUUACCUGAUGAGAUCUCUGGAAGCCUUUUCAAUUUUGAGCAGCCCGAAAGAUCAAGUUUGGUAAGAAAUUCCAAGCUAAAUAUUCCAGAUGGAAGACUUUUCAGGCUUUUGCUACCUUUUAGAUUCAAGAAAACUAGCUUGUUCAGACGUGACAUCAACGUGGGAUUUGGAGUUUUGGCAAUUAGCUUAUUGCAGGCAGCAUGGAUUAUCUGGUUUAAAUUACUAUAAUGCUGCUCAGUCAAAAAAGAGGCCAACAAAAAAUCGUUACCACGUAUAAUAAUUGAAUGUUGUUAUUGAGAGAUUGCACAUAUAUAAUAAGAUAUCCAUACCUUCACACAAUCCCAAAGUCACUAUCAGGCACUUCAAGUAACACAAGUUUCUCUGCACUAAGGUUUGAAGGCAAUGACUUCAACGGAUAUCCAUACCAGUGAAGAUAUUUCACUUCAGCAAAUCCGGAAUCUUGCAAAUAAGAUAUCUUACAUUUGUUCUCUCCAUUGAUUGAUGAACUAUAGAACUUUAAAAAUCUCAAUUUAGGCAUCUUUGUGAAAGUAUUAUGAUUUAGA